UAUCCUUCAGUACCAAUGAGUCGAUUUAAUCUCUGAUACUUUUCUCACUGAUUAACAGUUAUCACCAGUCAAAGGACAAAGUUUGCACCACUGAAACACUUUAAAAACAAAGGAAUGAAAAAUUUAUGACUAUGCAUCUGUGCAUCUUUCCUCAGGAAUCAAGAAAUCACUUAAAUUUACCUUGUAUUUUGUAUUUUUCUCACUCUUCUCACGCUAACUUCUCUACUUUCUCAUUACUUAAAACUAUGGGUUUUCAUUGCUGUAUUUAUCAUAACACAAUUCAAUAAGUCUAUCUUUUCUAGUGUCAUUCUUGAGAUACUGAACUCAUCUUCUUCUGCUCUUCGUGCUCUUUUAUUGCUGUCAGCAUAGUCUAAAUGUCACCACGUUUCCCAGCCAGAGGACACAAGGUCAUUACCCGAGGAAUUGUCUCCUGUGAUCACAUGCCUUUCAGUCAUUCUGCUGAGCACAUGAUACCAGUCACAGUGUGACUGCAUCCUUAGGGACAUUUACAGAAGUUCUCCAGCCAACAUCGUACACGAUGAGCAAGUAGAAAGCAGUAGAUUCAUCAGAAUCAUAGAGUUUGCUUCAAAGUAAUUACCAAAAUCACCAUCACUAAGGAUGGCAGUGAGCUUGACUUUUGGAUCAGACAAAUAUAAAUUUGGGAAUGCUCAGAACUUGCUCUAUUUUUGUUGGGUUGUGGACUGUAAUUGUUAGGUGAUUAUUAACUCAUUUUAUAAUACAACUCUCUUUAUUUCAAGCUUAGACUUACUGUAGUUCUGCUUUCUACUUUAUUCUGUUUUAAACUCUCAAGCAACUGAAACUUAAAAUAUCUAAUGAAAAAACUGAUAUUUUCAGCUGUGCAGAGGGAAACAAUUCUUGCUUGUAAAGUGAACAGUGCAGACUCCGUUUCAGAGGAAAGAAGACUGAUAUGAGGUGGCCACUCAUGUAGUUAGAAAAUAUGGCUUCUGGUGAAGCCCCUAGAUCCUCCUCAACAUCCCAUUUUGCUACCAACUAUGGUGUGCGUGCUGACCCACACCCGCAGAGCCAGGCAGGGGCUCGGGCAGCACAUCAUGCUGUGGUGUCAUUCCAGUAGGAGCUGCCUAACAGGCCAGGCCUUUCACAAACCUGGUUCUGUAGGAAGAUUGCAGCAGGUGACGGUGAUAAUUAAUGGCCUCUGCAUUUUUGCCUCUGUCUCUUGGUUUUAGUAAUUUGACUGCUUUCAUGGCAAAGACUGACACAAUAGAUUUUUAUACUCUAAAUAUUUUCCGUGCAGUUCAAUACUGCCUUGUUAGAACAUUUAUUAGCAGGGCAAAUAAUGACUCACAGGUGUUGUGCAACUUUUUUAUAACAGGAAGCAUAGGUGUUAGACAAGAAAAUAUAAUUACUCUUCACUUGUGCUGAAAAAUAAACACAAAAUCUGAAUAGUAAGGGUGAACAUCAAUUUCAGUCAAAAAAAUUGGGGAAGCAUGUGAUCAGAGGGCAAAGUUACAAAAGGAAUGUUACAAAACAGGGCCUUACGCAGUUACAUUCAGGUAUGAGAUCCUACCUUUCAAUACCAGCAUAGGGCGUUUGCAUUUUAGAUACAUAUUUUUGUCUAAAAAAUGUUUCUCAGCUGCUCCUUUUGAUAUUCAUCUCUAAAAGCAUUAGGCACAACUAUCUGCUGUGCAGGAGUCCUGUUCCCCUAAUGGGGGAAAGUUGUAAGCCACAGGAUGGCUGCCAACAACCCACCCCACUGACCACAGCUGCCACAGUACCUCAACCUCCUCUGUACUGCUGAUACAACCCUGUUGAUGUCCCCGGCUCUCCCUCAUCUCCCUUUGGGUGCAGGACAAGGGCCCCCUGGGUCUCUCCAGGAUAUGCUGGGGCUCACGCCAGCCCUGUGCCAGGCAAGGAUGGACCAAGCUCAGUUCUGCUAGGGGACUGCUCAGAGUUUCCCUAAGGCAAUAUGGCCACCUUCAAACUUGUUGAAGGCCUGGCAAUGCUACACCCAUUCAGACCCAGGCAACUUCUUGUGAAUAUGUUUUAAAGCAAAAACAACAAAAACUAAGCCUUGAGAAAGCUUCUUUGGAGCACAUAGGUUCAGCAAACAUUCCUCAGCUUUCUUCUACCUAAACUCUCAAACGACCUGAGCUCCUGCAUCCCAAAGUUCGGUAGAAUGGAGGCACGAAUUUUCACGCCCUUGACUAUUUUGGCAUUAUUUGAAUCAGGCAGAACUUGGGAGUCCAAACUGUGCCUAAGUUAAAUUGCCUGGACCGAGACCCUUCAUAAGGCAAUAAUUCUAAUGGCUCAUGCCACAGCUUGUUACACAGUUUCCUAUAUUUUCUAUGCAAAGAAAAAGAAAAAAAAAAACCAUGAUGCUUACUGCUCUUCCUCCUCUUACACAUCACUUAGGUUGAAGACAAUCUGGCUCGUUACCGCACUUGCAGGAAGCGUGGUACAAAUUGUCUGGGAUGAUGAAAUGCACACCUGCAAUAGCAGCCAAUCCAUUUUCACACACAUUACAAGGGAAGUUCACUUGCUUUGUUAACAUGAUAUUUUUCUAGUACAGAUAUAUUUUAAGCCCAGGCUUGUUUUUACAUCCAAUUAGGAUUUAUCUUCACAUGGCCUAGAAGAAGGAGAGGGUUGGGAAAAUUCAACAGAAUGUAACCUCAGUUUGAAAAGCUGAAACUAUAUAGUUGAUAUCCAUCACUCACCCAGUAGACACGUGUGAAAUAUUUGAAAGCCUUUACAGACUUUGGGACUGUUGAAGACAAUUGUCAACAACAAAAAAUCUGACCUGUCUGUUGCUAAAAAUUUUCUCAAAGUGGACACAGUGUGUUCAGCCCGUCUUCUGCCAGCUAAUCAGGUGAUAUCACUCCUUUAUGUCCUUCCCUCUGCUUAUUACUGGCAGGACACAGACUGAUAAAGGACAGGCAUACAUCUUAAGGACACAGACCGAUUAUUCUUCAUUAGAAGGAAGGAUGAAGCAAUGUCCCUAGAGUACUCCAAAAACACCCCACAAAGUAUUUAUUACAAUUUUCCCAGAACUAUUCCUUCUAUAGGCUGACAUCCGACAUGGACUUACAUAGAUACAGCAAUAAAUAGGCUUCCUAAAAUUAAAGGAGUUGUAGGCUACACAUUUUUCCUUCUAUUGUUUUCUCAGAACUAUGAGAAGAGGGAAUAUUUUGGUGUUCACUGUUUGGUUUUCCAGGAUUACUACAGUUUGUAUGAAGGCAUUCAAUGGUAGCUCGAGUUUUUGGUUUUUUUUUUUAUAUGGGUACAGUUGAGGUCUACAUGAGAUAUUCUGUCUCGGAGGAAAUAAUCUUUCAUUGAUUUCUUUGCCCCUGCCUGUGCACUCUGAUCCUGUUGGCAGUUCUGGCUUUCACACGAUGAAAGUGUUUAAGCAGUUUAAAGAACUUCAGUGCAGGAUGUGAAUACAUACAUGUAUAAUGCCACUUCCUCUCUGCUUUCAGUAGACCUUGGAGUAAAAGUGAAAGCACUCAACAUUUAGCACAAAAGCAAGCAGCUGCUGCUGUGGCUGGAAAAAGAAAGCUGACAGCAGACAGCCCCCUUUUGGUUAGUACGUUAAUGACCAUUUUGUGUGACUGGUACACUAAUGUGAGAGAUUGUACCAGUGAACUGAACUUACCACAACACAAAUAAGAAGAAACAAUUGUUACAUAGCAGAGGCUAAUGUUUGUAUAGGAAGACAUUAAGUUCAGAGCACAUUUGUCUUCAACAGGAACCCAACAUCUUUCACCACUUUCAACUCUGCUUGCCCUGUGGACUUAGCCUUCUCUAAGCUAUUUCCAGACACAAGCAGCAAGUCUUGUCACAAGCUGUUCUCAUCGAGGUGAGCAUCACUUGAGGAGGAAAGGCUCUGCAAACCAAGUUCUUCAUCUAAGGACAAGAUCUAGAUUUAACAGAAUGGAGGGAUAUUAUCAUUACAUCUACAGGAGAUGGAUACUGUCUAAUUAAUAGGGUGUAUUGGCUGUAUACAUACCAAGAAACCUGCAAGCAGACAGAACUAUGAAAUGUAAGGAAGUAAGAAAGCAAGCAAAACGAACAACCUGGAACAAACAAUGAAUGCCACCUUUGUUCUUUUUUAAAUGCAUGUGAAUGUGAAGUCCUAACUCAAGUUUCACAACAUUCUGACAUAAGUGGUGUGCAUAAGGAAAACAGAAAGAUGGAAAUUUUAAGGCAGUCUAUUAACUUCUAAAGGUUUCUCUUCUGAUUGGUUACCAAUGGAGAAAUAAGUACAACCUGGAUUCACAUUUCGAAACAAGCACAGGGAAAAACAAACUUAGGGGAAAAUCUACUGCUGUUUCAAAAGCUUGGGACUAUGAAACCUCUGAGCUGAUGCAAAUUAUUGCAGUAUCUGCCCUAAGCCAGUCCUGGUGAGCUCUACGACAUACUGUACUCUUACAGACUUCUCUGGGUUUUUUCAGAAGACACAGAGACAGACAAAGUGGACAGCCUGUACAUGGAUGCUCCUGUUCUGUGAUUUACUUCAUAUCCUUUUGCUCAUUCUCAUGAUGCAGUUUCACCUCAGCUAUCAAAGGAGCAAGGGUCUUCCUGGGAACAUCUUCCUUACAUCAAACCAUCACAGCCUGAUCUCAGUUGUGAAGAAUCAAGUGCUGGUGUGUAUGGGCCAGGUGAUAUGUGCAACUUCUUCAUGUGAACUCAAGUGGGACAGGCAAGAAGAGAUGGUAUCACGAUCUCAGGGGCUUGUCUGAGAUGGUAAUGCCAAAGAUUUUAGAGGAAGAGCCUCGUUACUCAGUCUGACCCAAAGUGUCUUAAAGCUACUCGUAUAAUUGAAUAGAUCUCCCUUGAGCAGAUGCCUCAGGAGCCAAUAAGAAGGCUAUAGCUGAGAGAAGUAAUUGGACGUCACAUCAAUCAAAAUUCAUGAUUAUCUUGAAACCUCUCAGGAACAGGGGCAGUCAGUAUCAUUUUAAAUACUCCUACAAUAGAUUCAAAUUACGCCAUCCUGAGCUAGUAGCAUGGUCCAACCCUCUAAGACACAUCAUGCUGCUGUGUGACCUAGGCACUGGCUGAUUUCUCUUCUGAAUCAGCUGAGUGCUAAUUAUAUUCUAUUAUAUUUUAAAGAAAAAUCCAAGAGUGAAGUUACACAAGGUCAGUUCUUUGCAGGCAGUAACCUCCGCAAAGGAAGCAAAAGGGGACUUGAACAAAGGCUGCUGUUAUGCCAUACCAACCCACAGGGAUGUCCAGGUACAGGAGGGAGCACAUUGUGCACCCUCCUACAUGUGUAAACAAAGCAAGGUUGUGCCCCUCUUCAGCACAGUACUCCAGAACUGCAAAAUUACCCAGACCUGCAGGGCUCUAGAUGAGUGACUUGCUGAAGGUAAAACAAGUUGAGACAGAAACCUGAUCUUCUCUCUUCUUCUAAGACUUAGCUUUUGAACCUGAACCAAACCAUACCAAAGUUAAAGGAGAAUUCCUAUUUCUUGUAAUGAUUUUCAGAGAAAGUCCUCAAGCCCCAGGGCUACCUGAUAGGAAGAUGUAAAUGCAUGUAAAUGUAUGAAAUCUUGAGCUGCAUGACAGGUAAGGGAUUUACCUGAGUAAGAAGAAAGAAUGUUCCCACUCCUGAUUCCGUAGAUAUGAAUCUCAUUCACUCGUUGCUGGUUGUAUGUACAAUCACUCCUCAGUUGCUCAAGCAGAACAAUGCAGCUGGCAACAGAUUUCAUUGUAUAUUUUGCUUGGAAAAAAUAACAUAUGCAAGAACAUCUGGAGAGCAUGCCCUCCUCCCUCUGCACAUAAAAGAAUGACAGAGAUGGUGGUAGAACUGCUCAGAGGCUUGGCAGCACCCCACAAAAUAUCUCAUGUUGUCACACUUAUUUGUCACACUGAGCAACUGGAUUCUUUCUCAGUUGGCUGCAUAGGACAGCAACUGUAAUAUCCUGGCACUUGUAGUGAAAUAUACACUUAAACCUGAGGGCACACAGUACAGAGAAGUCUCCACCUCAUUUCUGGCAAUCACCUUCGAUACUGCGCAACAACUGCAUUCAAAGCACCUCUGUGCCUGAGCACUCCCUACACAAACAGAAUCCAAUUUCUUCAUUCUCUCUGUAUAUUAUUGGCUUGGCUACAAUUCUGUCUAGUAAGAAGUUGUUCCCCACAGUCUCAAAGACGCUUACAAGCCAACUGCUGCUAGACCAUUCCUUCCCUCCCCCAACACCUCCUCAUCAGGUUUACACUAUACUCUCCUGCUUGGUUUUCUCUAGCUUUGUUAUGAAGAUUUCAAGCAAUAAAAAGCAAUU
Meleagris gallopavo (turkey) is the source of this 6257-nucleotide non-coding RNA. The record is from RefSeq and is a predicted model, not a curated record. Lineage: Eukaryota; Metazoa; Chordata; Aves; Galliformes; Phasianidae.